RNAcentral lists this ribosomal RNA (244 nucleotides) under uncultured organism. RNAcentral describes it as "partial 16S ribosomal RNA". It matches the Rfam family "Bacterial small subunit ribosomal RNA", at positions 139 to 399 of the family's 1533-position model. The record is from RNAcentral.
GGGAACAACAGCUGGAAACGGCUGCUAAUACCCCAUAGGCUGAGGAGCAAAAGGAGGAAUCCGCCCAAGGAGGGGCUCGCGUCUGAUUAGUUAGUUGGUGAGGCAAUGGCUUACCAAGGCGACGAUCAGUAGCUGGUCCGAGAGGAUGAUCAGCCCACUGGGACUGAGACCGGCCCAGACUCCUACGGGAGGCAGCAGUGGGGAAUUUUCCGCAAUGGGCGAAAGCCUGACGGAGCAAUGCCGU